This 371-nucleotide ribosomal RNA is filed under the name uncultured organism. Its description in RNAcentral is "partial 16S ribosomal RNA". It matches the Rfam family "Bacterial small subunit ribosomal RNA", at positions 527 to 896 of the family's 1533-position model. The record is from RNAcentral.
AGAGGUGGCGAGCGUUGUUCGGAUUUACUGGGCGUAAAGCGUGCGUAGGUGGUUUCGUGUGUCGGAUGUGAAAGCCCACCGCCCAACGGUGGAACUGCAUUCGAAACUGCGGAGCUGGAGUGCAGGAUGGGAGAGCGGAAUUCUUGGUGUAGCGGUGAAAUGCGUUGAUAUCAAGAAGAACACCGGUGGCGAAGGCGGCUCUCUGGAAUGCUACUGACACUGAGGCACGAAAGCUGGGGGAGCAAACAGGAUUAGAUACCCUGGUAGUCCCAGCCGUAAACGGUGUGCACUUGGUGUAGGGGGUAUUGACCCCCCCUGUGCCGGAGCUAACGCGUUAAGUGCACCGCCUGGGGAGUACGGCCGCAAGGCUA